Molecule: ribosomal RNA, 253 nt
Filed under: uncultured bacterium
Lineage: Bacteria
Description: partial 16S ribosomal RNA
Rfam family: Bacterial small subunit ribosomal RNA
Source: RNAcentral
UACGUAGGGGGCUAGCGUUGUCCGGAAUCAUUGGGAGUAAAGAGCGUGUAGGCGGUCCGGUAAGUCCGCUGUGAAAGUCGGGGGCUCAACCCUCGAAUGCCGGUGGAUACUGUCGGGCUAGAGUGCGGAAGAGGCGAGUGGAAUUCCUGGUGUAGCGGUGAAAUGCGCAGAUAUCGGGAGGAACACCAGUAGCGAAGGCGGCUCGCUGGGCCAUUCCUGACGCUGAGACGCGAAAGCUAGGGGAGCGAACAGG